Mirounga angustirostris (Northern elephant seal) is the source of this 4988-nucleotide long non-coding RNA. RefSeq lists it as uncharacterized. The record is from RefSeq and is a predicted model, not a curated record. The transcript is spliced from 3 exons. Lineage: Eukaryota; Metazoa; Chordata; Mammalia; Carnivora; Phocidae.
UUUGAGCCCUCCCCAGGGCAGAAGGAACAUCGGAGGCCAAAAUUAUCAUUCACUGAAGCAGGACGUUUCAGAUGAUUAAAGUCUGUGAGUUGUUUUUGUGGAAAUAGAAGGAAUAUAAAGUUCAAAAAGUGGCAAAACGAAUCUAUGCUGAUAGAUUGGCAGGGUAUGAAAGGGGAAGGACCCCGAGACAGGCACCUGUGUGUGGGGGGGGGGGGGUGCUGCAAUGAGCUGUAUCUUGAUCUAGGUGAUGAUUACUUGGGUAUACACCUGUUGAAAAUUCAUGCAACUGUACAUAGGAAAUGCGCACUUUAUUGCAUGGAAAUUAUUAUAUCUCUUUAAAAAAAAAAGAAGAAGAAAAUCAGAUUAGAAAAUAGGCUGGGGUCAGAUAAUGAAGGGUGGGGCAUAUAAGAGAAGGGAUCUAGGUCCCAAGGGUCCUCCCCCUGAGAGCCAUAGCAAUAGAAGAUCAUAGGAGUCUUAAUACAUCAGCCUAACACCACGAGGAACAUAGUCUGACAAAGUCAAGUUUAUUGACCCAUUGUGAUGAUGGAGACCACACAAGAGAGAAACCAUGGAGCAUUUUGACAAACAAAGGAAAAGGUAGAGUUACUAUAGGAUUUGCAGGAAAGAUAGAAUUUAGGUGACAACUAAAUGAUAGGCUCAAAGCAAGUCAGGGUCAACAUCAGGUGCAGACUGUGAAGAGGAACCAGGGUCUUGUACCCUUGGAAACUACAAGGUGAAUCUAGAUGUGGAGUAUUGGGUCCAGAAAGCCUUUAUGUGAAGCUCUGCACCUAGAUUGGAAAUUGAAGCUGCUACUCUGUUUCAAAUGAUUACAGGCAAGAGUGGGAUGUUUCAUUUUUACUGAUAGAUUUUUCAACACUUGAUGAUUUUAGGGAACAAAGUUUCUCUGUGAGAAAGAAAGCAUGUCCUUGGGGGAAAUAGUGUUUCUUAUUAACUUUGAAGCUAACUUUAUCUGUGCCUGUUAUUCCAGCCCAAUGAAUUAGCCCUUCCUUUGCCUUAAUUACAGAGAAGAGAAGAAAGGGCUUUUAAUGCAGCUACAGACCUCUAAACAGUACAGCCGUUGAGUAAUGGGGAGAAAACUUCUUAGCUAGUUCUGAAGUCAAAACUGUUUAUAGUAACAAAGAUGCUACAUUGGAACUGUGAAGCCCACCUCCAAGAUGUCCCCCGACGAUUUUAGUCUCCAGGUAUUCAUGCCCCUGUGUCGUCCCCUCCCACACCGAAGAGGGCUGAGCAGCGUGAUCAAUAGGAUAUAGUGGAAAUAAAUGAGAGAGUGUGACUUCCAAAGUUAGGUCGUGAAAGUUACUGCAGCUUCUGUUUUGCUCUCUCUUGGAUCACUUGCUUUAGAGGAAGCCAGCCACCAUGUUGUAAGGACACUCAAGCAGUCAUCGUCCAGAGAAACACACGUGGUGAAGAACCAAGUCCGUCAGCCUUGUGAGUGAACCACUUUGUAAACACAAGCUCGGGCUCUAGUCAAGCCUUCAGAUGACAACACUCCCUACCAAUGUCCUGACUGCAGCCUCACGAGAGACCCUGAGCCAGAAGCACUCUGCUAAGCCACUCAUAGAUUUCCAACCUUCAGAAAUUGUCCUGUGACUCCACCAUCUGCAAACAUGGCUUCCAUCUCAUGGUGUAAGACGGACACGCCAAUGCCCAACACCACGUCUCUACUCCAGUACCAGAGAGAGACACAGCAAGAGAGGGAACACAAGCAGGCAGAGGGAGAGGGAGAAGCAGGCUUCCCGCAGAGCAGGGAGCCCGAUGCGGGGCUCGAUCCCAGGACCCCGGGACCAUGACCUGAGCCGAAGGCAGACGCUUAACGACUGAGCCACCCAGGCGCCACCUCUGUGCCACUUUCACUCUGAAAAGCUGACAAAGUAUCUUUCAGGCGGUCAUGUUUGCUAAGCAAUGCCUCUCACUCGAUGUUGCUAGCGGAUUUCAACUACAUCCUGGAAAACACACCAACCCCACCCAGUUCACUCUGUGGCCAUCUUUGUUCUUGACAAACCCUUCUGUUGUGUUCCUCCAAAAAAAAAGUCCACUGGCAACCAUGUUUAGUCAUGGCAAGAAGCGCUACGUUGGAGGUCGGUGGGUCCCCUCCACCCUCACCUCCAUAAGAAAGAGGCCUCGGGAUCGGGCUUCCGCAACCAUUUCGCGAACUUCCGCAGCGUUCACGCCCAUGGGCUUCUCGCACAGGACGGCCUUGCCCGCUGCCAGGCAUAGCAACACUGCGGCCUUGUGCUGGGGGUGCUGGGUGCCAAUGUAGGCCACCUCUAGAUUGGAAGGUAGGAGGUCGAGCGAUCAGCAGCCCCGCCCACCCCAGCCCCGCCCUCCGGGACCCGCCCACAACUUAGAGGCCCCGCCUCCAGCAUCCUAGGAACUCAGGUCCCACCGACCAAGGACAGUCGUGGGGAGCCUGUUUCUCCUUCUCUCUGCAGCUCCCGCUGCUUGUGCUCCCGUGCUCUCUCUCUCUCAAAUAAAUGAAUAAAUAAAUAAAUAAAAAUCUUAAAAAAACACAAAACCUAAACGGGCUCACUUACAAAUUCAGGCCCCUCCCAAACCGCCGAGGCCUGGUUUCUAAACGCAAUUUCAUACCAGACUGUGAAUCCCAGACCAAAGCCGUUCCUACAGUUCUGAUUGCCAGCCGCCGAUCCUUCCAGAAGCACACAGGGAUUGGACCAUCCCGCGGAGCCUUGUUUAUCCUACGGAGCAGGCUAGAGGCAGCGCCGCGGUGGCCUCGGCUGCCCUUGCCACUCACCCACAUUCGGGUCUUUGGCCAGCUCCUCAUAGGACCCAUAGGCCUUGGGGAUGUCAUGUUUCCUCGCAAACUCCUUCACCCGGCUACCGCCACAACCUGGAGGGACGCUAGGGUCAGACUUGCGCGGCUGGGGCAGGUGGAUGGGAGGGACGUUGAUGGAGAAAGCCCCAGGAUAACAAAAAUUAUGUCCCCCAGGACGGAGGCGAAGGGAAGGGGUCCUGGGGGAGGGCGUGUCGGGGGCCCGACACGGGUCCUGAAAAAGAGAGAUCUGGGGCAAGCGAUUAUUAAAUCCCCUAAUACCUCAAUGUCUUCUCUUCGAAGUAGUUCAGAACAAAACCCUCCCAAACUUGACGAAACCCGAGUUCACAGGACAGAAGUGUGGAGAAAGGAGUAGGGAACCCUGGCUCCCUCCUCCCUCAGACCCAGGAGUCCCGGCUCCCCGGCCUGCUCUUCCACAGGAUUCCGGAGGGAGGGUGGACCUGGUGCUCGGAGCGAGGCAGCGUUCGCAGCACGGCCGUGAAGUCGCUGGAGAUAAGGCCGACUGACACGAUGCCCCAGCGAAGCGCCAUCGCCAAAACCUGGGAUCCCAAAGUCUUGCCACCUGCGCCUGGAAAUUAAAGACCUGACGCCCCGCCCAGCCGGGGGCGUGGUCAUUUCUCCGCCCCCAUUGCAGCUACGCCACUUCUCAUUGGCCAGUAGGCCUGCGCGUCCCUUCAGUUCAGUCCCAAUGCAAAGGAGGUUAUUUAAAUCUAGCAUCCCGGGGCGCCUGGGUGGCUCAGUCGGUUAAGUGACUGCUUUCGGCUCAGGUCAUGAUCCCAGGGUCCCGGGAUCGAGUCCCGCAUCGGGCUCCCUGCUCGGCGGGAAGCCUGCUUCUCCCUCUGCCUCUGCCUGCCACUCACCCUGCUUGUGCUCUCUCUCUCUGUCAAAUAAAUAAAUAAAAUAUUAAAAUAAAAAUAAAUAAAUAAAUCUAGCAUCCCCAUUGGAAGGGCGCACCAUUGGCUCCGCUUUUUUGGGGGGAUGGGUGGGACCAGAAAGACUUCAUUCGGCGCUAAUGGCGACUUCUAACCACGUGACUUCCCCCCCCCCCCCUUUUUGAAUCUCUAAGCCCAACGGAGGGGUUGAUGUCCCCACCGGACCUUAAGAGUUGCAUGCCCUGGGGCGCCUGGGUGGCUCAGUCGUUAAGCGUCUGCCUUCGGCUCAGGUCAUGAUCUCAGGGUCCUGGGAUCGAGCCCCGCAUCUGGCUCCCUGCUCGGCGGGAAACCUGCUUCUCUCUCUACCACUCCCCCUGCUUGUGUUCCCUAUCUCGCUGUGUCUCUAUCUGUCAAAAAAAAAAAAAAAAAAGAAAAAAAGAGUUGCGUGCUCUACCCAGUAGCUCGCCAGGCCGCCCAGGAGAGGAUGGGGAGGCUUGCUUUCUUGUCACCUUCGGAGCUGGCCCCCUUCCUCCUUCCCCCAACUCUUUUGCUCCGAAAGCCGCGCACCCUUAGGAAUUGUCCAGAGGGAGGGACAAAAUAGUAAUAGCAAACAUCAUAAUUACGAAUAUUUCUAGAACGCCUGUCGUGGCCAGGCCCCCAGCUCCGUGCUUGACUUUCCUCAUUUCUAAUUUCUCACCACAGAUCUGCAAAUUAGGUUUCUCUUGCUCCCUGUUUACAGAGGGAGAAACCAUCCCAGAGAGCCAUGGUCGUUUUUUGAAAGUCUCACAGCCAGGACGUGAAGACUUGCAAACUGGCUGCUUCCAAAGAGCAUGGUUUUAGAAACCAGGCUGUUCUGCUUCUUAAAAGUGCUGGUGCCAGGCUGACUGGUUCCCAGCCCCUCCUUGCCACUGCCUGGCUGUAUUGCUUUGCACAAAGGGUUUCCUUGUCAGAGCCUCCCUCACCUUCCUAUUCUGGAAAACCGAGGUCGCAAUGGCAUCUACCUGUUUAAGAGGAUUAACUGAGCUCCAGAGCCUAUGAUGUAAAAUAUAGCAAAUGAUUGUUCCUCUAAGUCAAUUGGCAAAGGGCUGGCCAACUUUACCCACAGCAAAUCUGUGCACUUCUCUUCCCUUGUAGAUGUUCAGUUAAGAUCUGAGUUUCAGGGGCACCUGGGUGGCUCAGUUGGCUAAAUGGCUGCCUUUCACUCAGGUCAUGAUCUCAGAGUCCUGGGAUCCAGCCCAGCAUUGGGGCAGCAGGGAGCCCGCUUCUCCCUCUCCCUCUGCCCCUACCCCUUGCUUGUGUACUCU